RNAcentral lists this ribosomal RNA (254 nucleotides) under uncultured bacterium. RNAcentral's name for it is "partial 16S ribosomal RNA". It matches the Rfam family "Bacterial small subunit ribosomal RNA", at positions 524 to 776 of the family's 1533-position model. The record is from RNAcentral.
UACGUAGGGGGCAAGCGUUGUCCGGAAUCAUUGGGCGUAAAGAGCGUGUAGGCGGCCCGAUAAGUCCGCUGUGAAAAGUCCAGGGCUCAACCCUGGGAUGCCGGUGGAUACUGUCGGGCUCGAGUCCGGAAGAGGAGUGUGGAAUUCCUGGUGUAGCGGUGAAAUGCGCAGAUAUCAGGAGGAACACCAAUGGCGAAGGCAGCACUCUGGGACGUGACUGACGCUGAGACGCGAAAGCGUGGGGAGCAAACAGG